AACGAAUUGGCGCGGGCACUAGAAAAGUCUGCAGCACCCGGCCUCCCCCUGCUAGAAUCCGAAGUCAAAUGUCUGCUGUUUGCUGAUGAUCUGGUGCUUCUGUCACCAACCAAGGAGGGCCUACAGCAGCACCUAGAUCUUAUGCACAGAUUCUGUCAGACCUGGGCCCUUACAGUAAAUCUCAGUAAGACCAAAAUAAUGGUGUUCCAAAAAAGGUCCAGUCACCAGGACCACAAAUACAAAUUCCAUCUAGACACUGUUGCCCUAGAGCACACAAAAAACUAUACAUACCUUGGCCUAAACAUCAGCACCACAGGUAACUUCCACAAAGCUGUGAAUGAUCCGAGAGACAAGGCAAGAAGGGCAUUCUAUGCCAUCAAAAGAAACAUAAAUUUCAACAUACCAAUUAGGAUUUGGCAAAAAAUACUUGAAUCAGUCAUAGAGCCCAUUGCCCUUUAUGGUUGUGAGGUCUGGGGUCCGCUCACCAACCAAGACUUCACAAAAUGGGACAAACACCAAAUUGAGACUCUGCACGCAGAAUUCUGCAAAAAUAUCCUCCGUGUACAACGUAGAACACCAAAUAAUGCAUGCAGAGCAGAAUUAGGCCGAUACCCACUAAUGAUCAAAAUCCAGAAAAGAGCUGUUAAAUUCUACAACCACCUAAAAGGAAGCGAUUCACAAACCUUCCAUAACAAAGCCAUCACCUACAGAGAGAUGAACCUGGAGAAGAGUCCCCUAAGUAAGCUGGUCCUGGGGCUCUGUUCACAAACACAAACACACACUACAGAGCCCCAGGACAGCAGCACAAUUAGACCCAACCAAAUCAUGAGAAAACAAAAAGAUAACUACUUAACACAUUGGAAAGAAUUAACAAAAAAACAGAGCAAACUAGAAUGCUAUUUGGCCCUACACAGAGAGUACACAGCGGCAGAAUACCUGACCACUGUGACUGACCCAAAAUUAAGGAAAGCCUUGACUAUGUACAGACUCAGUGAGCAUAGCCUUGCUAUUGAGAAAGGCCGCCGUAGGCAGACAUGGCUCUCAAGAGAAGGCAGGCUAUGUGCUCACUACUCAUAAAAUGAGGUGGAAACUGAGCUGCACUUCCUAACCUCCUGCCCAAUGUAUGACCAUAUUAGAGAGACAUAUUUCCCUCAGAUUACACAGAUCCACAAAGAAUUCGAAAACAAAUCCAAUUUUGAAAAAC
Molecule: long non-coding RNA, 1204 nt
Filed under: Oncorhynchus kisutch (coho salmon)
Lineage: Eukaryota; Metazoa; Chordata; Actinopteri; Salmoniformes; Salmonidae
Description: lncRNA (ENSOKIG00005008632.1)
Source: RNAcentral